AGUGAACGCUGGCGGUAGGCCUAACACAUGCAAGUCGAACGGCAGCACAGGAGAGCUUGCUCUCUGGGUGGCGAGUGGCGGACGGGUGAGGAAUACAUCGGAAUCUGCCCAGUCGUGGGGGAUAACGUAGGGAAACUUACGCUAAUACCGCAUACGACCUUCGGGUGAAAGAGGGGGAUCGCAAGACCUCUCGCGAUUGGAUGAGCCGAUGUCGGAUUAGCUAGUUGGCGGGGUAAUGGCCCACCAAGGCGACGACCCGCAGCUGGUCUGAGAGGAUGAUCAGCCACACUGGAACUGAGACACGGUCCAGACUCCUACGGGAGGCAGCAGUGGGGAAUAUUGGACAAUGGGCGCAAGCCUGAUCCAGCCAUACCGCGUGGGUGAAGAAGGCCUUCGGGUUGUAAAGCCCUUUUGUUGGGAAAGAAAUCUUUCAGGCUAAUACCCUGGGAGGAUGACGGUACCCAAAGAAUAAGCACCGGCUAACUUCGUG
RNAcentral lists this ribosomal RNA (490 nucleotides) under uncultured bacterium. RNAcentral describes it as "partial 16S ribosomal RNA". It matches the Rfam family "Bacterial small subunit ribosomal RNA", at positions 29 to 507 of the family's 1533-position model. The record is from RNAcentral.